Molecule: unclassified non-coding RNA, 161 nt
Filed under: uncultured Wilcoxina
Lineage: Eukaryota; Fungi; Ascomycota; Pezizomycetes; Pezizales; Pyronemataceae
Description: sequence contains ITS2
Source: RNAcentral
AAUACCUCUCAAGCACUAUUGCUUGGCCAUGGAAGAUGAGUAUGCUUGCAUUCUCCCUUCUGAAAUUCAAAGGCGGAUGAUCUCAUAUUCCCCGGCGUAGUAAGUGUUUAUCUUUCGCUUGGAGUGUGUGACAGUCUUGCCAUCGACCCCCAUCAUUUCAA